CAGCAGCCGCGGGAACACGAAGGGGGCUAGCGUUGUUCGGAAUUACUGGGCGUAAAGCGCACGUAGGCGGAUAUUUAAGUCAGGGGUGAAAUCCCGCAGCUCAACUGCGGAACUGCCUUUGAUACUGGGUAUCUUGAGUAUGGAAGAGGUUAGUGGAAUUGCGAGUGUAGAGGUGAAAUUCGUAGAUAUUCGCAGGAACACCAGUGGCGAAGGCGGCUAACUGGUCCAUAACUGACGCUGAGGUGCGAAAGCGUGGGGAGCAAACAGGAUUAGAUACCCCCGUAGUCCCUGUCUCUUAUAC
Molecule: ribosomal RNA, 301 nt
Filed under: uncultured bacterium
Lineage: Bacteria
Description: partial 16S ribosomal RNA
Rfam family: Bacterial small subunit ribosomal RNA
Source: RNAcentral